Long non-coding RNA from Zootermopsis nevadensis, 603 nucleotides. RefSeq lists it as uncharacterized. Lineage: Eukaryota; Metazoa; Arthropoda; Insecta; Blattodea; Termopsidae. The record is from RefSeq and is a predicted model, not a curated record.
AUUCCCGGCCCCAAGUGGAAUGGACGCUCCGGCAAGGGUUUCUACAUCAAGGCCAGAGAGAGAGAAAUGUACGGAAAACAGGCGCGUGUUGUACGAUUGGAGCAUCGCCAGGCAGCCAUUACGAGGGGGUCCGGUUGUUCGUCGGCAGAAGACUGCACGAGGCAGUGCGCGGCGGCAGACCCCAGGGAAUCGACCCACCACAGCGAGCGCAGGGUGUGUGUAUACCAGCUGGAGAGACGGUGCAGGGCGCCACUGUUCAACUGAGACACAAUGUCAACAAACAAACGUGAUACUUUCCACUGACUCCGUGAUACAAGGUCUUUUUUCUUAAAUGCUGACACUUGGUCACCUCAUCAAAACAAUCCCUGCCUUUGCAGAAACCAAAGGCCCAACUCUACGUCACAAAAGCCAGCAAAUGCAACAUUUUCUCAGCCAGUUCAAUCCAUUCCACAUCCUCAAAGCCUACUUCUCUAAGCACCAUAUUUGUACUAUCGUCCCAUUUAUGCAAAGUUCUCCCAAGUUGUCUUAUUACUAAAUGUUUUCUAGCAUUAUCUGUAUCUGUUAUAAACGCAAUUUCCUACUGCAAUAAAUUAUAAAGUUGUA